ACUUUCCAACCCUUGGAAAGUGUCUCAGGUGUGAGCUGGUGGUAUCUGCACCCCCAGCAGCUAAGGUAGAAAUGUAUGGGAAACUGCAUUCCAAUUCAGGGAAGUAUAGGAAGCAGUAAUGAAAGUGGGAAGACCUAUUACAAGUUUGUUGCAGUCAUCCAGCUGCUGAUUUUCUCUCGAGGGCUCACACCCCUGGACUCUGGGUGGUCCUGGGAAGAUGUGAACCCUGUACCCUGACUCCCAUCACUGAGGCCAAGGGUCUGGACUCUUCCUCCUCCUCCUACUCCAGCACAGUGGGGAACCCGGCAGGACAGCUGUCCUCUGGGACUCUUGAGUUCACUCGCUUCAGCCACCAAGCACUGACAGGAGUGUUUCCACCAAAGGGCAGCUCCUGCGGCUUCCACUUCCCCUCUCCAAGGUGCCAGGGUUACUGUCUGUCGUCCAGCCUUCCAUGGCAUCCCUGUCUCUCCAGAUCAUCUCACUCAAUUCUCUCAUUGCUCCAGUGAGCCUGGAUUGUUUUCUGUUGCCGACAACAGAAAACCCCAACUGAUACCCUUGCCCUUCCCCAAGGUCACUUACCCAGAUCAAGGUCCAGCCUGAGAUUUGAGUUCCUAUUGAGUCCCCUACAGGAGCACAGCUGUGAGCUAAAUUGUGCCUCUCCCUAGGUUCAUUCCUAACCCUCUCAGACCUCAGGAUGGGACAGUAUUUGGAGACAUGGUCUUUAUUGAGCUAAUACAGGUUAAAUAGUUUACUCAGGGGAUCCUCAUCCAAUACAACUGGUGUCCUUAUAAGAGGAAAUUGGGACACAUGUUGGUGUGCAGUGGGAAGACCAUGUGAGGACAGAGAAGCUUGGCCAUCUGCAAGCCCAGGAGAGAGACUUAGAACAAAUCAAUCUGCGGACAACUUGAUCUUGGACUUCUAGCCUCCAGAACUGUGAGAAAAUACAUUUCUGUUGCGUAAGCGGCCCAGCCUGUGGUCCUUUGUCAUGGCAGCCCUGGCAGAUGAGUGCAGACCGCACUUCCCACCGCCAUGGUGCCACUGUCUGUGGACAGCAUGCCAGCCUCAUCGCACGAGUCACCCCUGAAGAUGCUCAAAUUAGCAGGCUGUUCUUAGAACCAAAUUUCCUGGACAGGCUUCAGAAAGCAUUCUCUCUGGUGAUACAGACAUCUGAAAGACACACACACACACACACACCCCAAAAACAAACAAAAAACUCAUGGCCA
This is a long non-coding RNA of Mandrillus leucophaeus (drill), 1223 nucleotides long. RefSeq lists it as uncharacterized. The transcript has 3 exons. The record is from RefSeq and is a predicted model, not a curated record. NCBI's taxonomy places the organism in Eukaryota, Metazoa, Chordata, Mammalia, Primates, Cercopithecidae.